RNAcentral lists this ribosomal RNA (1693 nucleotides) under Salmonella enterica subsp. enterica serovar Lomalinda. Its description in RNAcentral is "partial 23S ribosomal RNA". It matches the Rfam family "Bacterial large subunit ribosomal RNA", at positions 1230 to 2900 of the family's 2925-position model. The record is from RNAcentral. Lineage: Bacteria; Pseudomonadati; Pseudomonadota; Gammaproteobacteria; Enterobacterales; Enterobacteriaceae.
AGGGGAGCGUUCUGUAAGCCUGUGAAGGUGUGCUGUGAGGCAUGCUGGAGGUAUCAGAAGUGCGAAUGCUGACAUAAGUAACGAUAAAGCGGGUGAAAAGCCCGCUCGCCGGAAGACCAAGGGUUCCUGUCCAACGUUAAUCGGGGCAGGGUGAGUCGACCCCUAAGGCGAGGCCGAAAGGCGUAGUCGAUGGGAAACGGGUUAAUAUUCCCGUACUUGGUGUUACUGCGAAGGGGGGACGGAGAAGGCUAUGUUGGCCGGGCGACGGUUGUCCCGGUUUAAGCGUGUAGGUGUGUGUUCCAGGUAAAUCCGGUUCACUUUAACACUGAGGCGUGAUGACGAGGCACUACGGUGCUGAAGCAACAAAUGCCCUGCUUCCAGGAAAAGCCUCUAAGCAUCAGGUAACAUCAAAUCGUACCCCAAACCGACACAGGUGGUCAGGUAGAGAAUACCAAGGCGCUUGAGAGAACUCGGGUGAAGGAACUAGGCAAAAUGGUGCCGUAACUUCGGGAGAAGGCACGCUGACACGUAGGUGAAGUGAUUUACUCACGGAGCUGAAGUCAGUCGAAGAUACCAGCUGGCUGCAACUGUUUAUUAAAAACACAGCACUGUGCAAACACGAAAGUGGACGUAUACGGUGUGACGCCUGCCCGGUGCCGGAAGGUUAAUUGAUGGGGUCAGCGCAAGCGAAGCUCCUGAUCGAAGCCCCGGUAAACGGCGGCCGUAACUAUAACGGUCCUAAGGUAGCGAAAUUCCUUGUCGGGUAAGUUCCGACCUGCACGAAUGGCGUAAUGAUGGCCAGGCUGUCUCCACCCGAGACUCAGUGAAAUUGAACUCGCUGUGAAGAUGCAGUGUACCCGCGGCAAGACGGAAAGACCCCGUGAACCUUUACUAUAGCUUGACACUGAACAUUGAGCCUUGAUGUGUAGGAUAGGUGGGAGGCUUUGAAGCGUGGACGCCAGUCUGCGUGGAGCCGACCUUGAAAUACCACCCUUUAAUGUUUGAUGUUCUAACGUGGAUCCGUGAUCCGGGUUGCGGACAGUGUCUGGUGGGUAGUUUGACUGGGGCGGUCUCCUCCUAAAGAGUAACGGAGGAGCACGAAGGUUGGCUAAUCCUGGUCGGACAUCAGGAGGUUAGUGCAAUGGCAUAAGCCAGCUUGACUGCGAGCGUGACGGCGCGAGCAGGUGCGAAAGCAGGUCAUAGUGAUCCGGUGGUUCUGAAUGGAAGGGCCAUCGCUCAACGGAUAAAAGGUACUCCGGGGAUAACAGGCUGAUACCGCCCAAGAGUUCAUAUCGACGGCGGUGUUUGGCACCUCGAUGUCGGCUCAUCACAUCCUGGGGCUGAAGUAGGUCCCAAGGGUAUGGCUGUUCGCCAUUUAAAGUGGUACGCGAGCUGGGUUUAGAACGUCGUGAGACAGUUCGGUCCCUAUCUGCCGUGGGCGCUGGAGAACUGAGGGGGGCUGCUCCUAGUACGAGAGGACCGGAGUGGACGCAUCACUGGUGUUCGGGUUGUCAUGCCAAUGGCACUGCCCGGUAGCUAAAUGCGGAAGAGAUAAGUGCUGAAAGCAUCUAAGCACGAAACUUGCCCCGAGAUGAGUUCUCCCUGAGACUACGAGUCUCCUGAAGGAACGUUGAAGACGACGACGUUGAUAGGCCGGGUGUGUAAGCGCAGCGAUGCGUUGAGCUAACCGGUA